This 167-nucleotide non-coding RNA is filed under the name bovine gut metagenome. RNAcentral's name for it is "malK-I RNA". It matches the Rfam family "malK-I RNA". The record is from RNAcentral.
GCGUCCGGCCACUCCACUCAAUGGCGCGGCGCACAUUCAAGAAGGAGGAAGCAAUCCCGCAGGCUCGCGGUGCGGCAGUGUGGAGACCUGCCGUAAUGCGGUUCGCGCCAUCGAGCGCGACGCGAGGUCGCCUUUGCGGAGGCUGGGCGAUCAGAGCCGAUCAUAUG